Molecule: transfer RNA, 76 nt
Filed under: Neisseriaceae bacterium
Lineage: Bacteria; Pseudomonadati; Pseudomonadota; Betaproteobacteria; Neisseriales; Neisseriaceae
Description: tRNA-Glu
Rfam family: tRNA
About the family: Transfer RNA (tRNA) molecules are approximately 80 nucleotides in length. Their secondary structure includes four short double-helical elements and three loops (D, anti-codon, and T loops). Further hydrogen bonds mediate the characteristic L-shaped molecular structure. tRNAs have two regions of fundamental functional importance: the anti-codon, which is responsible for specific mRNA codon recognition, and the 3' end, to which the tRNAs corresponding amino acid is attached (by aminoacyl-tRNA synthetases). tRNAs cope with the degeneracy of the genetic code in two manners: having more than one tRNA (with a specific anti-codon) for a particular amino acid; and 'wobble' base-pairing, i.e. permitting non-standard base-pairing at the 3rd anti-codon position.
Source: RNAcentral
GCUCCCAUCGUCUAGUGGCCAAGGACACCGCUCUUUCUAGGCGGCAACCGGGGUUCGAAUCCCUGUGGGAGUGCCA